CUCGAGGCCAGAUCUUUCCGGUUGAUCCUGCCGGACCCGACCGCUAUCGGGGUAGGGCUAAGCCAUGGGAGUCGAACGCCCCGCCGCUGCGGGGCGUGGCGGACGGCUGAGUAACACGUGGCUAACCUACCCUCGGGACGGGGAUAACCCCUCGGGAAACUGGGGCUAAUCCCCGAUAGGCGGGGGGUGCCUGGAAGGGUCCUCCGCCGAAAGGGGCCGCGGGGGGUUAUCGCCCGCGGUCCGCCCGAGGAUGGGGCUGCGGCCCAUCACGGUAGUUGGCGGGGUAAUGGCCCGCCAAGCCUACGACGGGUAGGGGCCGUGAGAGCGGGGGCCCCCAGAUGGGCACUGAGACAAGGGCCCAGGCCCUACGGGGCGCACCAGGCGCGAAAACUCCGCAAUGCGGGCAACCGUGACGGGGCUACCCCGAGUGCCCCCCUUGGGGGGGCUUUUCCCCGCUGUAAGUAGGCGGGGGAAUAAGCGGGGGGCAAGACUGGUGUCAGCCGCCGCGGUAAUACCAGCCCCGCGAGCGGUCGGGGUGUUUACUGGGCCUAAAGCGCCCGUAGCCGGCUCGACAAGUCCCCGCCUAAA
RNAcentral lists this ribosomal RNA (588 nucleotides) under uncultured archaeon. RNAcentral's name for it is "partial 16S ribosomal RNA". It matches the Rfam family "Archaeal small subunit ribosomal RNA", at positions 1 to 549 of the family's 1478-position model. The record is from RNAcentral.